Molecule: long non-coding RNA, 2327 nt
Organism: Wyeomyia smithii (pitcher-plant mosquito)
Lineage: Eukaryota; Metazoa; Arthropoda; Insecta; Diptera; Culicidae
Exons: 3
Source: RefSeq, a predicted model, not a curated record
CACCACCUCGUCAAAGAAAUGUCAACAAAGCUAAUGAAUGAGAGAAACUUGAAAUUUGCAAAAACUUGAACUAAAAAUUCUUACAUUUCAAGGAGGAAAAUCAGUUAUUUGUGUUUAAAGUUCGCUGAAAACGAAUGCCACUCAGGAGGAGGAACCGAAUGACCGGGAAAAGGCUGAGCCCGACCCAUCUAUGUCCGUUGUCGGUAGAAGCAAAAACAGAAAAUAUGAUCCAGAUUACUUAAAAUACGGAUUUACAUGUGCGGAGAACGAUGAUUGUCCAAAACCCGUGUGUAUUGUCUGCAGGGAGACUUUGGCCAACAGCUGCUUGAAGCCGUCGUUAUUACACCGUCACUUGUCAACAAAGCAUCCACCUUAUGCUGACAAGAAACUUCAUUCUUCCAGCGGCUGUUGAAGCAAAAAGAACUUUCGAAGCUUUUCUCAGCAUCAGGAUUGGAAAACAUGAACGCACUUGAAGCUUCUUUUCGGAUUAGUUAUCACGUGGCAAAGUCUGGAAAAGCUCACACCAUCGCUGAAAAUUUAAUUGCUCCAUGUUUACAGGAUGCCGUGAAGUGCAUACUGGGAGAAGGUCCUGCUCUUAAAUGUAUAACAUCCGCCGAAGUCGAACGCUGCGACUAAAUAUCGAGCAACUGCGGGACGCUUGGAUUGCAUAGGAAAACGCGCAGUAGCUGGAGGCAGCGUUACCCACGAAAGAGCAGCUUGGCGCAGCUACUCUUGAAAAUGGCUGGGGGAGCAUCGGGUCCGCCACAGGUAGCACUGCUGUAGCGCUACUAGGUAUAAGGGUAUAACCUCCUUACGGACAAGUGUGAGGUAAUCGUAACGUGGAAGCAACAAUUCGAUGAGCAUCUGAACGGCGAUUCAGUAGAGCGCGAGUACGGUAUGGCAACUGAUCUUGGUGCACGAGCAGAAGACAAAUGGAUUCAAGAGCAUGUCGUAAGGAUGUCGAACGACAGCCCGGUAAAGAUGGCCUUGAAACCAGUUUGUCAGGGACGAGACGAAAAGGUGGGCAGCGGGCAAGGUGGAAGACGACCUACGGACGCUACGUAGAUUGCAGAGCUGGCGAACUGUAGCCAUGGGCUGAGUGGAAUGGAGACGACUCCUACGUACAGAAAAGGCCACCCUGACAUGUAGCGAGAAUGUCAAAAGAGUGACCAGCUGAAAUUAUGGGCUCUAUUACAGAAGUCGUGUAGAUUCAACUCGAACAAGUAUUUCAAACGAGACGACGCUUCUAUAAUACGGCUCUAUAUUAGGUAGAAAAUCGGACAAAGGCCAUCACCUUACUUAGGCAACGAUACGAGUCUGUGAGGUGUCAACGAUGAAGACAAGAAAGUGCGUGGAGAAUAUUGAGGUCGACUGGACAGUAGGACUGAGAAUAGCAAAGAAGACUCGGGAUCGAUAAUCGAUUUUUCGCCGUAUGCGCAGAGUAAGAUGAGGUAGAUGAGAGAAUAUUUUGGAGGAGCUUUUUCGGUAGUAUCAGAAAAACUCAUAAAUUUAAUACACAAAACUCAUGGUUAAACUCGUGAAUAAAACAUGUUUCUUUUUAUUUACUUUUAUCAAACAAAAAUUUUUGCGUAAGAUUCUUGACACAUUGUGAAACCAAAAAAAAACAAAUACAUAUUGUCCGGAGCUCAGUUACUAUGCUUUACUGAUUGAAAGUUUGAAAGAAAAAAAAUGCAACAUAUCCCCGUUAUCCCUAUUAAUUUUGCACAAAUUGCAAGUCCACUAGCAACUUCAAAACACUGAUACUAUAACCUAAUAACGAUGUCUCUGAUAAUGCAUCGGUGUUGGUUGCUGUUGGGAUGGAUUUGUAAUCGGCGGCGGUCGCACCGGCGGAUAGCCCUGCGUAAUGCUGCCCCCCUUCGGCAUCUGAGGGUGCGAUAAUGCGAUACACAGGGGAGCCAAUAAAAAAGAAGUUAAAACAAAACAAAUAUUUUGUUGCUACUGCUAGCGUAUGGUAGAGAUUCACACAAGGUUAUUGCGAGUGACGAAAUGUGGUUUAUGCAGACUGAAUACGACAGAGUAGAACGGUGCGGUGUCGCGAAAAUUUUAAGCAGUGCAAAAAGCCAACGAUGGAAGGAAAUGUAGACAAAACCAAAACAGAUGAAAUUAGGAUUUUUCUUAGAAAUAUAUACAGUUGAGAUUGAAUAUAAAAAGCAUAAAAUAAUAAAUAUGAUUGACCGUGUUAUCAAUGGGACUAAGAAGCUAGUUAACAAUAUUUAGUUAGAUCAAUAGCGCUUACUUGCUGGUUGGAGGCAAUGGCAUGCAUUGGAAUUGCCCCCGGCCGGAGAGCAGAAGUGUACACAAUUCCU